CGGAACAUGGUUCCAAAGGGGCGCUGAUUGACGCAUAGUUUCAUAUCCCACGCCCGAGGGGGCCGUGAGAUUAAGCCAACAUGGCAGGUGCUCACGUUAAACAUAUCAGACUUUCAUGUCCCUAUCUACUAUCUAGCGAAACCACAGCCAAGGGAACGGGCUUGGAAUAAUUAGCGGGGAAAGAAGACCCUUUUGAGCUUGACUCUAAUCUGGCAGUGUAAGGAGACAUAAGAGGUGUAGAAUAAGUGGGAGAUAUUAGACUUCGGUUUGGUAUCGCCAAUGAAAUACCACUACUCUUAUUGUUUCCUUACUUACUUGAUUAAAUGGAACGUGUAUCAUUUCCUAGCCAUUAUACGGAUAUAUUUAUUAUAUCUUAUGGUAUUGGGUUUUGAUGCAAGCUUCUUGAUCAAAGUAUCACGAGUUUGUUAUAUAAUCGCAAACAAAUUCUUUAAUGAGAGAUGCAUUUACUGUAUUAUUGAUUUGAAAAUUUGGUAUAACUCCAAUUACUCAGGUAUGAUCCAAUUCAAGGACAUUGCCAGGUAGGGAGUUUGACUGGGGCGGUACAUCUCUCAAAUAAUAACGGAGGUGUCCCAAGGCCAGCUCAGUGCGGACAGAAACCACACAUAGAGCAAAAGGGCAAAUGCUGACUUGAUCUCGGUGUUCAGUACACACAGGGACAGCAAAAGCUCGGCCUAUCGAUCCUUUUGGUUUAAAGAGUUUUUAACAAGAGGUGUCAGAAAAGUUACCAUAAGGAUAACUGGCUUGUGGCGGCCAAGCGUUCAUAGCGACGUCGCUUUUUGAUCCUUCCAUGUCCGCUCCUCCUAUCAUUGUGAAGCCAAAUUCACCCAGGCUUGGAUUGUUCACCCAUGCAAAGGAACGUGAGCCGGGUUUAGACCGUCCUGAAACCAGGUAGUUUUACCCUAAUUAUGACCAAACGUUGUUGCCA
Molecule: non-coding RNA, 946 nt
Organism: Drosophila ananassae
Lineage: Eukaryota; Metazoa; Arthropoda; Insecta; Diptera; Drosophilidae
Source: Rfam